This 665-nucleotide ribosomal RNA is filed under the name uncultured Burkholderia sp. Its description in RNAcentral is "bacterial SSU rRNA". It matches the Rfam family "Bacterial small subunit ribosomal RNA", at positions 67 to 727 of the family's 1533-position model. Lineage: Bacteria; Pseudomonadati; Pseudomonadota; Betaproteobacteria; Burkholderiales; Burkholderiaceae. The record is from RNAcentral.
CGGCAGCACGGGGGCAACCCUGGUGGCGAGUGGCGAACGGGUGAGUAAUACAUCGGAACGUGUCCUGUAGUGGGGGAUAGCCCGGCGAAAGCCGGAUUAAUACCGCAUACGCUCUACGGAGGAAAGGGGGGGAUCUUAGGACCUCUCGCUACAGGGGCGGCCGAUGGCAGAUUAGCUAGUUGGUGGGGUAAAGGCCUACCAAGGCGACGAUCUGUAGCUGGUCUGAGAGGACGACCAGCCACACUGGGACUGAGACACGGCCCAGACUCCUACGGGAGGCAGCAGUGGGGAAUUUUGGACAAUGGGCGCAAGCCUGAUCCAGCAAUGCCGCGUGUGUGAAGAAGGCCUUCGGGUUGUAAAGCACUUUUGUCCGGAAAGAAAUCCUUUGGCCUAAUACGUCGGGGGGAUGACGGUACCGGAAGAAUAAGCACCGGCUAACUACGUGCCAGCAGCCGCGGUAAUACGUAGGGUGCAAGCGUUAAUCGGAAUUACUGGGCGUAAAGCGUGCGCAGGCGGUUCGCUAAGACAGAUGUGAAAUCCCCGGGCUUAACCUGGGAACUGCAUUUGUGACUGGCGGGCUAGAGUAUGGCAGAGGGGGGUAGAACUCCACGUGUAGCAGUGAAAUGCGUAGAGAUGUGGAGGAAUACCGAUGGCGAAGGCAGCCC